Molecule: non-coding RNA, 375 nt
Organism: Girardinichthys multiradiatus
Lineage: Eukaryota; Metazoa; Chordata; Actinopteri; Cyprinodontiformes; Goodeidae
Source: the annotation of a RefSeq genome assembly
AUGUCGAUCAGGCUGUUUGUUCUGCUAACAGUGAUCUGUCUGCCCUGUUUUAACAGCCAGGGUCUAGAGUCCAUUCCUUCCAUCUCAGUAGUGAAAAAGCCUCAGGAAGAUCUUAGUCUUUCCUGCAGAGGAACUGGAUUUAACUUUGGUCGCUAUGGAAUGCACUGGAUCAGAGAGCGUCCAGGAAAACCACUGGAGCACAUAGGUCCAAUUUGGUAUGAUGCAAGUAAAACAGUUUAUGAAAACUGCGUUCAAGGACGCAUAGAAAUCACCAGAGACAACAGUAACAGUAUGGUGUAUCUGAGACUGUCCAGCCUGAAACCAGAGGACUCUGCUGUGUAUUACUGUGCACCAAACACACAGUGGUUAAUGUGA